RNAcentral lists this non-coding RNA (152 nucleotides) under Pseudoalteromonas sp. Lineage: Bacteria; Pseudomonadati; Pseudomonadota; Gammaproteobacteria; Alteromonadales; Pseudoalteromonadaceae. The record is from RNAcentral.
CAUCAGUAUAGGUUUCAAGGUAUUGAAAUUUGUAGCAGGAUAAUCGGGAAGUUGGUGCAUGCUCAUGAUGAGCAUAAUCCCAACACUGCCCCCGCAACGGUAAUGUGCUUUAAGUGCAGAGUCCGGAGACCGGCCUUGAAACAAACUUACUA